RNAcentral lists this long non-coding RNA (238 nucleotides) under Gossypium barbadense (sea-island cotton). Its description in RNAcentral is "long non-coding RNA (GBAR_LNC014300)". The record is from RNAcentral. Lineage: Eukaryota; Viridiplantae; Streptophyta; Magnoliopsida; Malvales; Malvaceae.
UUUGUGGCAAGUUCUGUUAAGAGGACACCUUCGUGGCGAGACUCUGAAAGGAAAGCCUCUGUGGCUAUUUUUGGAACGGAAUGCCUUCGUGGUUUAAUCUGAAGAACGACUCUCAUGAUGAUCAUCUGAAGACAACACCGAUGGGCAGACUUUGAAUGAAUGGCGUACACGGUAUUAUAAGAGUUGGCAAGUGUGGAUUAGAUUUGAAGGAAAAGCCAGUAUGGAAGGUUAUGGAAAA